AAUAGAUGACGCCGUUGACUUUUUCUCACAUGUUUGAUCUCUCGUCUUAUUAAAAAAAUUUACAUAAUUAUAAUUAAUUUUGUUAUGAGUUGUUUUAUCACUCAUAGUACUUUAAGUGUGAUUUAUAUCUUAUACAUUCGAAUAAAAUUUUUGAAUAAGACGAAUAGUCAAACAUGUGAGAAAAAGUCAACGGCGUCAUCUAUU
Oryza rufipogon (brownbeard rice) is the source of this 204-nucleotide microRNA precursor. It matches the Rfam family "MIR812 microRNA precursor family". NCBI's taxonomy places the organism in Eukaryota, Viridiplantae, Streptophyta, Magnoliopsida, Poales, Poaceae. The record is from Rfam.